UUUUUUUUUUUUUGAGGGGGUUAAGUUUUGUUUGUUGGACUGCUUUCGUUUCUGUCGGCCCAAUAUGGUUUGUGUUCAGUUUUUUGGGCCUCUUGGGCCCACACCACGCUCGUGUGUUCAAUUAGGCCCAAUCAUGCUGCCGUCGUCACUGUGGUCCGUCGUCAGUCAGUGAGAGCACAACAACAAGGUGGCACAAGAAGCCGGCCGGCCCCUCGGAUGAGCCUCUGCCUGAGUGCCUGGAGAGUGGAGACCUUUCAUUGCGGCAAUUCUCUUCUCCCCGGUAAUGUUGAGCGGUUUGCGCGUUGCGUACUUGCGUGGGCUAACGGGCGACGAAAGCUAGCCACGGGUCAUAACAUAUGAUAAAAAAGCUAGCCUCUCCAGCUUGAUCUGCACCAAGGGAAGAAUGUGUUGUCGUCCUUAUCGAGCUCGGUGUGGCAGCAAUAAUGCUAGUGUUACAUUCGUAUAUAGCUAGCCAUGGUCCUAUGCUCACUUGGCGCUAACAUUCUGCCUGUUUCCGCGUAUUCACUUUGACUUGUGCUCGCUAGCUGCCGCGCCCCAUGGGAGGCUGCUGCAUGCUUGCUGGUGCAGUAACCUCCACAGCCGCGAGUGCAAAAUGCCCCAGCUAAUGUCGAUUCUAUAGCAAAUUCACUACCGUUUAUGAUUUAUUCUACCGUGUUCCGUCACCGCGCAGCCAAACCACCACGGUGCUAGGUCCGAGGUCCUUUAUCUCUUAUGAAUGAAUAUUCAGCCAAGAUGUGGUGAUUAGUUUUAAUUUGUGCAGCGGUACAUGCAUGAGAGCUUAUGAUGGAAAAUUACCACCUCUAGAAGCCUAUGAACAUUUCAAUUUCUUUAGCCAUCUAUCCUCUGUUGGAUUAAUUGGUAAUCCGGCCCCUCCUUCCUCUUAGUUCUGGCUCCGCCACUGUCUCAAGAAACUGUCGUGAUAAUACUCCAAGCUCGAGGGGGAAAAAAAGGAUCGAAGAAAAAACAUCAGCCAACAUCAUGCAUCCAUGCUGCCGAUCGAAACAUGUCGACACUCUUCUGGCGCCGCAGCCGUGCAGCACGUACGAACCUUCAGCAGCUUCAGCCCGCCUCCGGAGAAAAGUCCAAAGACGCGAGAGCCGCCGCUGUUUAUGUGGCAACUCGACGUCUCCAUCUUUCACAAGUGAUGACAGCAGGGAGGGGGCCGGGCUCUGAGACGCUGGUACGCAUGCUCACCGUCCGUCGGUCCAUCGCUGCCGUGCGUGCCCUAGAGCGCAGGGCCCCCCAGGGUAGCCGAGUUCCCCGUCCCGCCAGCCGGCUGCGGGCCACCGUCUUUUCGCCGAGCGAGCGCCAACAGCCGCCUGCUGCCAGCCGCCGCUGUAGCGCGACGGCGACAGGCGGCAGCGGACACGUCGGCCGGGCCCGGGGCACCAGAGGGGGGAUAAGGACGGGCCCCAUCUUAUCGCGCUGCGGAUUCCUUCGAUUCCCCCGCCGGGCCCCGCGAGGCCGGGGAUCGAUCGAUCGAUCGGGGUCGCACAUCUCCGCACCAAAUCGCCCGCCCGCGCCCACCCAAAUCCCUCGCGCUCCCUCCUGUUUUCCGGCCACUCCGCCCCGUCCUCUCACCCGGCGGCCCGGGGCCGUCCAAGGGCCCUCGCUUUCGCUUCACGUGGGCUUCGGCGUCCUCGCUGCGACUUGCGAGCCGGAGGACGCCCUCGUUCGUUCACGCGCUGACGAUUCCCUGCACUGGAGGCCGGAUAAGAUGGCGUCGUUUUGGCUCGUAGCUGGAGUGAGUGGGGGGACGUCCCGACUGGAAUUGGUGACGGCGGCACCGAGGGAGACCGAGAUUAGAUUAGACCAGCCUAAUUGGAUAAGAAUAUGCAGGUUAACAGUCGGCCGGACGAUUGUGGUUAGUGGGACGCGGUCGGCCUAGCUAAGCUAAACAACGCCACACCUACCGACCGUAUCAAAAGCUAAGCAUCACGGAGAUCAGCGCGUUCGCUCGGGUGGGGCCCCCCGGGGGCCUACGCACCCACUCCCUCUCACACACGCACUGACGCACAUAUGUCCAAACGCUAAGCAUCCCAAACGCAGAAGCAUCACUGAUCACUUCUGAAAAAAAUGUGCAUGCACGAACCUAAGACAGCAGUAGGCAGCAGCUCAACUUGGUGUACGACUGGUAGCCUUUGGUUUCCCUUUUUUUUGGAAAAAAAAAUAAAGGGAAUGCAUAGCUUUGGAAGAAAUGAAGGCAUAAACCAGGUACAGUAGUUCUUGUGUUCUACGAGCAGCACCAAGCCAAGUUGUUAGCUGUAUCACAUAACGCUAUUAGGAAGGAUACGGUUAGAUGGCAUGGUCAACUUCAUUAUCAGCGAUAAAUAAGCGCGUGCCGGACGAUAAGAUGGGCCAUGCAUGUCGUGGGCCAACCAUCCGCCACGACUUCUUUUCACCCGGCCUCUAGGACUUAUCCAAACCAAAAACCCAAUUAUGCACGCAACAUAAUGAUUCCAACCAAUCGAUAACAUUAUCCGCUUAAUUAGGUCAGGAGAUCCCAAUCUCAUAGUAGCAGUAAUAAAAAGAAGAAGAAGAAGAAAAGUUACUGCAGCCUACUCUUGCAGAUGGGACAAGGCACGAGAGAAGCUGGAACAAACUCCUGCACCGUCUCGAGCACCCGCCACGUGGCGCGAGCAGGCCCGCUUAUCUCUGUCCUGCGGUGCAGGUGCGGCGCAGGAGGAAGAAGGCGAGAUGCGGAGUACUACCAGUACUACUGCUCCAGUAAUAAAAAGUUAAAAAAAUCGGGGCACCAGAACAAGUUCUUCUACAGUCAUGGAUUGGCAACACACAGCAACGGCGCGGGUCGCGCCAUUUUUGAUUCUUGGCAAGGGGUAAAACCGAGGCGGUAAAAGAUACCGAUCGCCAUGAGGGAGGGGCGUGUCGCUAGAACCGGGCGAGCGCGCGGCGGAGCACCUGGGCGAGGAG
RNAcentral lists this long non-coding RNA (2952 nucleotides) under Setaria viridis. Its description in RNAcentral is "long non-coding RNA (SVIR_LNC011397)". Lineage: Eukaryota; Viridiplantae; Streptophyta; Magnoliopsida; Poales; Poaceae. The record is from RNAcentral.